UACAGAGGGUGCAAGCGUUGUUCGGAAUUAUUGGGCGUAGAGCGCGUGUAGGCGGCUUAGCAAGUCGGGCGUGAAAGCCCACGGCUCAACCGUGGAAGUGCACUCGAAACUGCGCAGCUAGAGUCUCGGAGAGGAAGGCGGAAUGCUUGGUGUAGAGGUGAAAUUCGUAGAUAUCAAGCGGAACACCGGUGGCGAAGGCGGCCUUCUGGACGAUGACUGACGCUGAAGCGCGAAAGCGUGGGGAGCAAACAGG
This 253-nucleotide ribosomal RNA is filed under the name uncultured bacterium. RNAcentral's name for it is "partial 16S ribosomal RNA". It matches the Rfam family "Bacterial small subunit ribosomal RNA", at positions 524 to 776 of the family's 1533-position model. The record is from RNAcentral.